ACCAAGGAGUCUAACACGUGCGCGAGUCGACGGGACGUUUCUCGAACAGACCCGAAGGCGCAGUGAAAGCGGGACGGCCGGUUGUCGGGUCCGGCCGGAGGGGCUCGUCCCUUCCGAGCCGUCCCCCCGCUCCGGCCGAGUCCGGGGAAGAAGGCGAGCGAGGAAACUGAUCCAUCUUUUUUCUCGCCGCCCGCACUCCCAGGGCGCCUCGGCUCAUGCCGCAGGCGCACCCCGAGCGUACGCGUUGGGACCCGAAAGAUGGUGAACUAUGCCUGGCCAGGACGAAGUCAGGGGAAACCCUGAUGGAGGUCCGCAGCGAUUCUGACGUGCAAAUCGAUCGUCAGAGCCGGGUAUAGGGGCGAAAGACUAAUCGAACGAUCUAGUAGCUGGUUCCCUCCGAAGUUUCCCUCAGGAUAGCUGGCGCCCGUUUGGAACGGGACGAGUCUCAUCCGGUAAAGCGAAUGAUUAGAGGCCUUGGGGCCGAAACGACCUCAACCUAUUCUCAAACUUUAAAUGGGUGAGAACGAUGGCUUGCUCGAAGACUGUGAAGCCGUCGCGUCGGAUGAGGGCGCCAAGUGGGCCAUUUUUGGUAAGCAGAACUGGCGCUGUGGGAUGAACCAAACGCCGGGUUAAGGCGCCUAAACCGGAGCUUAUGGGAAACCAUGAAAGGCGUUGGUUGCUUAAGACAGCAGGUCGGUGGCCAUGGAAGUCGGAACCCGCCAAGGAGUGUGUAACAACUCACCUGCCGAAGCAACUAGCCCUGAAAAUGGAUGGCGCUAAAGCUCCGUGCCUAUACCCGGCCGCCGGAAGGCAAGGGCGGUCGGAAUUUCCGGCCGCGCGAAGCCCCGGCGAGUAGGAGGGCGCGGCGGCGAGCGCGGAAGGGUCGGGGCGCGAGCCUGCCUGGAGCCGCCGCCGGUGCAGAUCUUGGUGGUAGUAGCAAAUACUCGAGCGAGGGCCUCGAGGGCUGAUGUGGAGAAGGGUUUCGUGUGAACAGCCGUUGCACACGAGUCAGUCGAUCCUAAGCCCUAGGAGAAAUCCGAUGUCGAUGGGAGUCGCUUUGCCGACGAACAACGCUCCCGUCGGGCGAAAGGGAAUCCGGUUCCUAUUCCGGAACCCGGCUGCGGAACCGUUUCUUCGGGCCCUCCCUCUCAAAAGGAAAGAGGAGCUCGUCGGGGUAACCCAAAAGGACCCGGAGACGCCGUCGGGAGACCCGGGCAGAGUUUUCUGUUCCGCAUAAGCGUUCGAGUUCCCUGGAAUCCUCCAGCAGGGAGAUAGGGUUUGGAACGCGAAGAGCACCGCAGUUGCGGCGGUGUCCGGGUCGUCCCCUCGGACCUUGAAAAUCCGGGAGAGGGCCACGCGGAGGCGUCGCGCCGGUUCGUACCCAUAUCCGCAGCAGGUCUCCGAGG
This 1406-nucleotide ribosomal RNA is filed under the name Supella longipalpa (brown-banded cockroach). RNAcentral describes it as "eukaryotic LSU rRNA". It matches the Rfam family "Eukaryotic large subunit ribosomal RNA", at positions 665 to 1872 of the family's 3401-position model. Lineage: Eukaryota; Metazoa; Arthropoda; Insecta; Blattodea; Ectobiidae. The record is from RNAcentral.